CCAACGGCCCUCUUUAGGGCCACACUUUGCUUUUCGAAUAACAUUU
Necator americanus (New World hookworm) is the source of this 46-nucleotide non-coding RNA. The record is from Rfam. Lineage: Eukaryota; Metazoa; Nematoda; Chromadorea; Rhabditida; Ancylostomatidae.